AGUGAACGCUGGCGGUAGGCCUAACACAUGCAAGUCGAACGGCAGCACAGUAAGAGCUUGCUCUUACGGGUGGCGAGUGGCGGACGGGUGAGGAAUACAUCGGAAUCUACUUUUUCGUGGGGGAUAACGUAGGGAAACUUACGCUAAUACCGCAUCCGACCUACGGGUGAAAGCAGGGGAUCUUCGGACCUGGCGGGGUUGAAGGAGCGGCUGUCGGAUUAGCUAGUUGGCGGGGGAAAGGCCAACCAAGGCGCGGAUCCGUAGCUGGUGUGAGUGGAUGAUCAGCCACACUGGAACUGAGACACGGUCCAGGCUCCUACGGGAGGCAGCAGUGGGGAAUAUUGGACAAUGGGCGCAAGCCUGAUCCAGCCAUACCGCGUGGGUGAAGAAGGCCUUCGGGUUGUAAAGCCCUUUUGUUGGGAAAGAAAAGCAGCAGGUUAAUACCACGCUGUUCUGACGGUACCCAGAGAAUAAGCACCGGCUAACUUCGUG
Molecule: ribosomal RNA, 492 nt
Filed under: uncultured bacterium
Lineage: Bacteria
Description: partial 16S ribosomal RNA
Rfam family: Bacterial small subunit ribosomal RNA
Source: RNAcentral